Molecule: unclassified non-coding RNA, 253 nt
Filed under: uncultured Gammaproteobacteria bacterium
Lineage: Bacteria; Pseudomonadati; Pseudomonadota; Gammaproteobacteria
Description: contains 16S-23S intergenic spacer region
Rfam family: Bacterial small subunit ribosomal RNA
Source: RNAcentral
UACAGAGGGUGCAAGCGUUAAUCGGACUUACUGGGCGUAAAGGGCGCGUAGGCGGAAUGCUAAGUCGGAUGUGAAAAGCCAAGGCUUAACCUUGGUCGUGCAUUCGAUACUGGUAAUCUAGAGUCUUGGAGAGGGAAGUGGAAUUUCCGGUGUAGCGGUGAAAUGCGUAGAUAUCGGAAGGAACACCAGUGGCGAAGGCGACUUCCUGGCCAAAGACUGACGCUGAUGCGCGAAAGCGUGGGUAGCAAACAGG